Molecule: transfer RNA, 70 nt
Filed under: Danio margaritatus (celestial pearl danio)
Lineage: Eukaryota; Metazoa; Chordata; Actinopteri; Cypriniformes; Danionidae
Description: tRNA-Cys
Rfam family: tRNA
About the family: Transfer RNA (tRNA) molecules are approximately 80 nucleotides in length. Their secondary structure includes four short double-helical elements and three loops (D, anti-codon, and T loops).
Source: RNAcentral
GGUCCCGUGGUGGUAAUAAGCAUAUCAGAUUGCAAAUCUGAAGGCGUGGGUAAAACUCCCUCCGGGGCCU